GUUUUUGAGAUAAGAGCUGACCAACGCCCCUAUCUCGAUCUGGUCUGAGCCUACCAUCACGAACACUGAGACGGGGACACAGACCAUGAUCCCCCGGGAUCCUCCCGAGAUUAAUUUUCCUCACCGCCGGAAGGCCUGACGGAGCCCCACCCCUUGAGGGAUGAAGGCUCUUGGCUUGUAAAUCUCUUUUCUCAGGAAAUAACCUCUGAUCUUACCUCAGGAACUGACCUCAGCUAACUCCCUGCCCUCAACCGCGAAAACCCGGAGGAGGCCAGCCCUGUCCCCAAGUAUUGAUCUUAGAGCGUCCCGCUGUGGAGAUUCACUGCUGCUGUCAAACCAACGGGCUUAACUGCUCUACCGCAGUGGAAACUGCCUACCUAUUCUGUCGAAGGCGUACAAGGCAAUCCCGCUGUAGCGGUGAAAUGCCUAAAGGUCUUGAAGAAGAUCGGUGGCAUGGCGCUCUACUGGACGGAAACUGACUCUCUUAGGCGAAAGCUGGGGAGCGAAUGACACUAGAUCGCUCAAUAGUCUUGAGCGUAAACGAUGCAUACUAGGUGUAGCUAGU
RNAcentral lists this ribosomal RNA (565 nucleotides) under uncultured organism. RNAcentral describes it as "bacterial SSU rRNA". It matches the Rfam family "Bacterial small subunit ribosomal RNA", at positions 248 to 830 of the family's 1533-position model. The record is from RNAcentral.